AUAUCAAUAAGCGGAGGAAAAGAAACCAACAGGGAUUGCCUCAGUAACGGCGAGUGAAGCGGCAACAGCUCAAAUUUGAAAUCCGGCUCCCCUCGGGGGCCUGAGUUGUAAUUUGCAGAGGGUGUUUCGGGCGCGGCGCCGGUCUAAGUUUCUUGGAACAGAACGUCGCAGAGGGUGAGAAUCCCGUCCGUGACCGGCGGCCAAGCCCGCGUGAAGCCCCUUCGACGAGUCGAGUUGUUUGGGAAUGCAGCUCAAAAUGGGUGGUAAAUUCCAUCUAAAGCUAAAUACCGGCCAGAGACCGAUAGCGGACAAGUAGAGUGAUCGAAAGAUGAAAAGCACUUUGGAAAGAGAGUCAAACAGUACGUGAAAUUGUUGAAAGGGAAGCGCUUGCGACCAGACCGGUCCGGGGGCGAUCAGCCGCGGCUCGUCCGCGGUGCACUCGCCCUCAGUCCGGCCAGCAUCGGUUCGGGCGGCGGGAGAAAAGCCUCGGGAAUGUAGCUCCUCUCGGGGAGUCUUAUAGCCCGGGGCGCAAUGCCGCCCGCCCGGACCGAGGACCGCGCUUCGGCUAGGAUGCUGGCGUAAUGGUCGCAAGCGACCCGUCUUGAAACACGGACCAAGGAGUCUAACAUCUAUGCGAGUGUUUGGGUGUCAAACCCGGGCGCGGAAUGAAAGUGAACGGAGGUGGGAGCCCGGCCAGGGUGCACCAUCGACCGAUCCUGAUGUCUUCGGAUGGAUUUGAGUAUGAGCAUAGCUGUUGGGACCCGAAAGGUACGUUCGAUCCCGUUCUUUUUUUUCUCUUUUGGUGAACAUGCUGACGGUGAGGCAGAUGGUGAACUAUGCCCGGAUAGGGUGAAGCCAGAGGAAACUCUGGUGGAGGCUCGCAGCGGUUCUGACGUGCAAAUCGAUCGUCAAAUCUAGGCAUAGGGGCGAAAGACCAAUCGAACCAUCUAGUAGCUGGUUCCUGUCGAAGUUUCCCUCAGGAUAGCAGUAACGUUUUCAGUUUUAUGAGGUAAAGCGAAUGAUUAGAGGCCUUGGGGCUGAAACAGCCUUAACCUAUUCUCAAACUUUAAAUAUGUAAGAAGUCCUUGUUACUUGGUUGAACGUGGACAUUUGAAUGCACCGUUACUAGUGGGCCAUUUUUGGUAAGCAGAACUGGCGAUGCGGGAUGAACCGAACGCGAGGUUAAGGUGCCGGAAUGCACGCUCAUCAGACACCACAAAAAGUGUCAAUUCAUCCAGACAGCCGGACGGUGGCCAUGGAAGUCGGAAUCCGCUAAGGAGUGUGUAACAACUCACCGGCCGAAUGAAUUGGCCUUGAAAAUGGAUGGCGCUCAAGCGUGCUACCCAUACCUCGCCGCCCGGGUAGAAACGAGGCCCG
RNAcentral lists this ribosomal RNA (1377 nucleotides) under Dendriscocaulon sp. n1020. RNAcentral's name for it is "LSU rRNA". It matches the Rfam family "Eukaryotic large subunit ribosomal RNA", at positions 40 to 1375 of the family's 3401-position model. Lineage: Eukaryota; Fungi; Ascomycota; Lecanoromycetes; Peltigerales; Lobariaceae. The record is from RNAcentral.